ACGGCUGGAGCGAGCAGAGGCCCGGCGGCUCUGGGGAAGCUGGCAUCCCUGAUGUGUUCUCAGGCCCUGCCAAGUUCCUGGUGUGGCGUCCGCUAAAGGUCUUUCUUCAUUUGCUCUUCGUCCUACAGCCGGAGGCGGCCACAGCAGUGCUAGAUUUGAGCAGUGUCUGCAACCUACACCACAGCUCACAGCAAUGCCAGAUCCUUAACCCAGUGAGCAGGGCCAGGGUUUGAACCUGCAUCGUCAUGUAUUCUAGUCCCCCCAACUGGGUUCGUGACCCGCUGAGCCGCAACAGGAACUCUAUAUUUUUUUCUAUUUUAAAAAAAUUAUUUAUGUACUUAUUUUUCUUUUUUGGCCAGCCUGUGGCAUGUGGAGUUCCUGGGCCAGGUAUCAGAUCCGAGCCGCAGCUGCAACCUAAGCUGCACCUGCAGCAAUGCCGGAUCCCUAACCCACUGUGGGGGGCCAGGGAUUGAACCCGAGACCCAGUGCUACCAAGAGGCUGCUGCUCCCGUUGUGCCACAGUGGGAACUCCAAGGCAGACCUUCUAGAAGUGGCCUGCGCUGUCCCAGAGGGAGUGAGCUCCCUGCUCCAGAUGAGGCCAGGCUGAAUCCACCUGCAGCAGAUUCAUGGGUCCCUUUGGGGCUUGGAGCAGAUGAGCCUCAAGGUUCUUGCAGUCCUGUGUCCUCUAGUUCUGUGCCACCCCUGCCCAGGGCACUCCACUUUCUGGGUUCAUGAUGCCCCAGGUCCACCCUGAGCUGCUGGAUGCCAAGCAGUAGCCUGUCCCGGACACUGCGCACCUGGCCAGGGACGCCUACAGAAAAGGCUCAGCAGAGGUCUGCCGUGCGCGGUACCUGUCUGUCCCGAGUGCCAGGCAGACUCCCAGCGUCUGUCACUGUUCAGGGGACAGUCUUUCAGGGUGGCAUCGCUGAGCCCAUUGGAGAGAUGAGAUCACUGAGGCUCCUCAGCUCCCUGGCCCAAGGCUACAGCUGCCAGGGGGUGGAAUUCACACUUGGACCGCCUCUGAGUUUGUCACGACCUCACGAGGCUGCAGAAACAUUUGAUGUGUGCGGAUAAUCAGUGAAAAAAUGACAAAGGUCAAAAAACCUGAAUCCCCACUGGAUUUGAAGAACUUGCCUCACAAGCCUCAGGUCAGCGGGGGGCCUGGGAGCUGGGACCCCCUCCUGCCCUGGGGAGUCCGGCAUCUCCUGGGCGGUGGUGUUGCCCCCGGAAUGCAGAUCCUCCGGCCGCCCCGCCGCCCCCACCGUCCACGGUCUGGAAGCACAGGGGCGCCUCUGGGCCCCUGGGCGUGUGUUUAUUCAGCCCGGCGGGGCCUGCAGGGUGUGACCUAGAGCUGGGUGUGCGCUUGGGGGGCAUUGGACCGCCUCCUGUGGACGGAGGGGGGGGCGGGGGGGUGGCUUUGGCUUUGGCUCCAGGCAAGCUUGUGGCCUUUUCACCCCAUGGUCCCUGCCACCCCCCCAGCAGACCUGCUGUCCUUCUUACACCCUGUUAUCUGGAAGGAUGUGGCUCCUGUCUGAACCUCAGCCUGCCUUCCAGCAGUCUGGCCUCUCAGGCAGGCCCAGUUAUCAGUGGCAAAGCAUUUCUCGCUCAGCAAUACUUGGGCCAGUGUCACCAAGAAGUGCUCUGGGCAGAGCAGCCAGUGGUCUUGGCAACUCAUGCACCGAGCCCUGUUCUCCCUUAGAAGCUUGUGUCAGGAGUUCCCAUUGUGGCUCAGUGGGUUAAGCCCCCGACAUAGUGUCCGUGAGGAUGCGGGUUCGAUCCCUGGCCUCUCUCACUGGGUUAAGAAUCCUGCAUGGCUGUGCGCUGUGGCGUAGGUCGUGGGUGCAGCUCAGAUCUGAUGUUGCCGUGGCUGUGGCGGAGGCUGGCAGCUGCAGCUCUGAUUGAACCCCAACUCGGGACCUUCCAUAUGGCUCAGCUGCAGCCCUAAAAAUAAAACAAAAAUAAAAAUAAAGAAGUUAGUGUCAGCAUGCAAAUGUCAUGGAGGUUCUCUCUUAGAAGUGGCUGCGUGGCUGCAGAAGUGCUCUUGCUGUGUCUAUUGCAAAUAUAAAAGUAAUCCCAUUAGCGGAAUAAAUGAGCUUCCAUCAUGUCAAAGAUAUUGAACAAGAGCGUCCCCCGCGCCCAAGUAGGUCGUCUUAACUCUUUACCUGAUGGGGUGCCCACUCGUCCCUGCUUCUGAUCAGUGCACUUGGGGACUCCAGGGCUGGGCCGGGCCUUCUGAGCGUUGCAUACAACACUGUCAUUUUAUGCCAAGGGACUCAUGCCCAGGGAGGCCAGGGGCUUCAUCUGGUCCCAGGACCACUUAGUGGUCCAAGCAGAUGAGCUUUGGGCCAUGAGCAGCGCCUUUAAGGAGAGGCGGCCACUCCGGCAGCCCUGGCGUCGCUGGUGACCUUUCACAGGUUUGACCUUUACCACCCAUUCCAGCUGUGUCUUUUUCCUUCUUUUUCUUAGCACCUUUAGAAGUCGCAGGCGGUGAUAAGCUCGUGCCAAAGGGAGUACAGGCGAAGGAGGGUGGGCCUGGCAGAGACGGGUGGGGACGGAGCUGCUGGUCUUGGAGACCAGGAGGCGCCUGUGCGAUCCUGGGAUGCUGGCACGGGUCCACGGAGAGCAGGUGACCUGGAGCCCUCGGCCUCCAGAGGCUCCCCAGAAAGGCGGGCGGGCAGUUUUCCUCUUGCACAACAGCAAGAGACAAGGAGUUGGCAGCACGGAUCUGGAGGCCUGGGGUCCAGGAGGAGAGAGAUGGCCUCAGACUCCUGCAAGAUCAGGGUGCAGGGUUUCUCGUGAGCAAGGGACCGUCUUCCCUAAACUUGUAGUGAGUUGGUUCUCUGUCUUUCUUAAGGCAAGAGAUGUGCUGCAGUGAAAAAGGGGGGCUUUGGCUUUUUAGCCCCAAGAGUAGUGAAUUCUUUGCUUCUGGGUCAAGAUGCCCAGAGCCAGAGCAUGUGGCACCUUCCUGACCAGCACCAUGUUUCUGCAAGGUCGGCCCUUCCAGUGGACGUGGGCCCGGCCCCUUUCCAUCAGCGGCAGCGCAGGACCUCCUGGGCCACCCAGGGGCUUCUAUCCAGGGUAUCCGGGUCUUGUCACUGAUACAGCAUCUGCUUCGUUCCACAUACAGCCCCAGAAUGAAGUUUUCCUUGUUGCAGGACUUCGUGUCCAUUGAAUCACAGGAGCUGGCUUAGAAGUGGCGCCUCAGCCAAAAAGAAUCUGACUAGUAUCCAUGAGGACUCAGGUUUGAUCCCUGGCUUCGCUCAGCGGGUUAAGGAUCCGGCCUUGCGCUGAGCUGUGGUGUGGGUUGCAGACGAGGCUCAGAUCUGGUGUUGCUGUGGCCGUGGUGUAGGCUGGUGGUUUCCGCUCUAAUUUGACCCCAUAUGGAACUUCCAUAUGCCAUGGGUGUGGCCCUAAAAAGACAGGGGGGAAAAAAAAAAAAGAAGUGGUGCCUCAGUCACUGUUUCUCUCUUCUUGGGCUGAGGGUGAGACCAACUUCCCUGGGAAAAGCUCCUCUAACUUCCCUGAUUUCAGUCUGACUCAGGGACAGGCAGGGCAGGAAGUGGGGGGGGCGUGGGGGGCUGGAGUGGGGGGAAGGAGUCCAGAGUCGGUGUCAGAAGUUGCUGCUGCCUCUUUGCUGUGUGAUUCUAGACACGUCCGGGUGCUGAGUGCUUCUCUCCCAGCCUAUGAAGUGGGACAGUCACGUCUGCUCCCUGGGGUCCUGCUGGGAGCUGGUGGCGGACCACGAGUGGGUCUGCUUCCUGACCUUGGUCACCUGUGCCCUCUUACAGGACGGGGCGGUGGGACGCUGCUGCCCUCCAUGUGAGCUGCAGCCCAGGCCCUGCGGCCCUGGCACAGCUGCCUGCUCUGGGGGCAGGGGCAGGGCGGCGAGGAACGGGGUCCAGGAGGCUUUCUCUCCAGCUUCUCGGGGGCCCUGGACUGGCCGGAGGGCCUCCCCUCUUCAUCCUAGGGGUCCUACCCCCUCACUCUCCUCCCCACCCCCCAUCCCGGCUGCUGGUUCCCUGGCUGCAGACAGUCCCUCCUCAGGGCCUUGGCACUGGCCACGCGCCCCCGGAGUUGCAGAGACCCUCAGCCCACCUCCCACACUGCCCCACCCCCGCGCCAAGCGGUGCUGUGCCCCUCCCUGUGUGUUCCUCUCCCGAGUGGUGGCCAGUCCAGUCCAGUCCUGGCAGGCUGGGGUGGACUGUCAGUAUGUGGCGCUUCCAGCCUUUGUCAUCCAGUUAGGUGAUGGGGGGGUGGGGUGGGGGUGGUGGAGGCAGUGCUGGAAGGCAUGAAGGGCCUGCCUUCAAGAGUUCCCUCUUGGAGUUCCCGUCGUGGCGCAGUGGUUAACAAAUCCGACUAGGAACCAUGAGGUUGCGGGUUCGAUCCCUGCCCUUGCUCAGUGGGUUAACGAUCCGGUGUUGCCGUGAGCUGUGGUGUAGGUCGCAGACGAGGCUCGGAUCCCGCGUUGCUGUGGCUCUGGUGUAGGCCGGUGGCUACAGCUCCGAUUGGACCCCUAGCCUGGGAACCUCCAUAUGCCGCGGGAGCGGCCC
RNAcentral lists this long non-coding RNA (4550 nucleotides) under Sus scrofa (pig). RNAcentral's name for it is "lncRNA (ENSSSCG00065022547.1)". The record is from RNAcentral. Lineage: Eukaryota; Metazoa; Chordata; Mammalia; Artiodactyla; Suidae.